AAAUGCUGUAAUAUAUUGAGAAUUUUCUCUCAAAUAUCUCUAAUUCCACUUUCAUUAUUUUGCGUCUUUAUAAGUGAAAAAUAUAAUGUAACUCAAGUUACGUUAGACCUCCACUUCACCUAUUCUCGACUUCCUCCUCUAAAGUGCCGAACUCGACUUCCACCAUACUCAACCUCCUCUAAAAUAUUUAUUAAACAGUAAAACCUAAACUCUACUUCCCUUAUAAUAGAUUAGAAUUGCCUUAUUUAUAACAAAUUAGAAUUAUCUUUAAAUAAUAAUAAAAAAAAUUAAUUAUAUAAUAAGUUAAAUUUUAUAGCAGUAAAUUUACUAUUAUAUUUAGGAGAUAAAAGGAUCCACUUACUUACAUCAAAACAAACAACGGAACUCACAAAGCUAAUUUCACCAGCACCAAGUUACAUCAAAACAAACAGAAGAAGUAAUUGAAUUUACCUUUCAGGCUAUACGAGUUACGUCAAAACAAACAACCAAAAAAUAAUCACACUUCAGAAAAACUCAAACACCACUGCACUUGACUUACGUUGGAUUUACAGAUUCGUCAAUCCAAAUAGACCCUUAAAAAAUAGUGUAUCUAAAAGUGAAACCCCACUAUAAAGC
RNAcentral lists this long non-coding RNA (615 nucleotides) under Ananas comosus (pineapple). Its description in RNAcentral is "long non-coding RNA (ACOM_LNC007295)". The record is from RNAcentral. Lineage: Eukaryota; Viridiplantae; Streptophyta; Magnoliopsida; Poales; Bromeliaceae.